RNAcentral lists this ribosomal RNA (450 nucleotides) under uncultured bacterium. RNAcentral describes it as "partial 16S ribosomal RNA". It matches the Rfam family "Bacterial small subunit ribosomal RNA", at positions 354 to 796 of the family's 1533-position model. The record is from RNAcentral.
GUGGGGAAUCUUCCGCAAUGGACGAAAGUCUGACGGAGCAACGCCGCGUGAGUGAAGAAGGUUUUCGGAUCGUAAAGCUCUUUCGUUAGGGACGAACGUGCUCUUUGUGAAUAAUGAGGAGUAAUGACGGUACCUAAAUAAGAAGCCACGGCUAACUACGUGCCAGCAGCCGCGGUAAUACGUAGGUGGCAAGCGUUGUCCGGAAUUAUUGGGCGUAAAGCGCGCGCAGGCGGGAUAUCAAGUCUGUCUUAAAAGUGCGAGGCUCAACCUCGUGAGGGGACAGAAACUGGUAUUCUUGAGUGUCGGAGAGGAAAGUGGAAUUCCAAGUGUAGCGGUGAAAUGCGUAGAGAUUUGGAAGAACACCAGUGGCGAAGGCGACUUUCUGGACGAUGUCUGACGCUGAGGCGCGAAAGCUAGGGGAGCGAACGGGAUUAGAUACCUCUGUAGUCC